This 259-nucleotide ribosomal RNA is filed under the name uncultured archaeon. Its description in RNAcentral is "partial 16S ribosomal RNA". It matches the Rfam family "Archaeal small subunit ribosomal RNA", at positions 748 to 1008 of the family's 1478-position model. The record is from RNAcentral.
AGGGUGUAAACGCUGCAGACUUGGUGUUGGGAACCCUUCGGGGUGCUCAGUGCCGGAGAGAAGUUGUUAAGUCUGCUACUUGGGAGUACGUCCGCAAGGAUGAAACUUAAAGGAAUUGGCGGGGGAGCACCGCAACGGGAGGAGCGUGCGGUUUAAUUGGAUUCAACGCCGAAAAACUCACCAGCAGCGACUGUUACAUGAAAGUCAGGUUGAUGACCUUACUAGAUUUUCAGAGAGGUGGUGCAUGGCGUGUGACUGU